Molecule: ribosomal RNA, 254 nt
Filed under: uncultured bacterium
Lineage: Bacteria
Description: partial 16S ribosomal RNA
Rfam family: Bacterial small subunit ribosomal RNA
Source: RNAcentral
UACGUAGGGUGCGAGCGUUAAUCGGAAUUAUUGGGCGUAAAAGGCUUGUAGGUGGCCACGCCAAGUCGGAUGUGAAAUCUCCCGGCUCAACUGGGAGGGGUCAUUCGAUACUGGCGGGCUCGAGGCCGGUAGGGGGAAGUGGAAUUCCCGGUGUAGUGGUGAAAUGCGUAGAUAUCUGGAGGAACACCGGUGGCGAAGGCGGCAUCCUGGACCGACACUGACGCUGAUGAGCGAAAGCCAGGGGAGCAAACGGG